UCGGGUUGUAAAGCACUUUUGUCCGGAAAGAAAACUUCUGCCCUAAUACGGCGGGAGGAUGACGGUACCGGAAGAAUAAGCACCGGCUAACUACGUGCCAGCAGCGCGGUAAUCGUAGGGUGCGAGCGUUAAUCGGAAUUACUGGGCGUAAAGCGUGCGCAGGCGGUUCGUUAAGACAGAUGUGAAAUCCCCGGGCUUAACCUGGGAACUGCAUUUGUGACUGGCGAGCUAGAGUAUGGCAGAGGGGGGUAGAAUUCCACGUGUAGCAGUGAAAUGCGUAUAGAUGUGGAGGAAUACCGAUGGCGAAGGCAGCCCCCUGGGCCAAUACUGACGCUCAUGCACGAAAGCGUGGGGAGCAAACAGGAUUAGAUACCCUGGUAGUCCACGCCCUAAACGAUGUCAACUAGUUGUUGGGGAUUCAUUUCCUUAGUAACGUAGCUAACGCGUGAAGUUGACCGCCUGGGGAGUACGGUCGCAAGAUUAAAACUCUAACGAAUUGACGGGGACCCGCACAAGCGGUGGAUGAUGUGGAUUAAUUCGAUGCACCGCGAAAAACCUUACCUACCCUUGACCUGGUCGGAACCCUGCUG
RNAcentral lists this ribosomal RNA (590 nucleotides) under uncultured Burkholderia sp. RNAcentral's name for it is "bacterial SSU rRNA". It matches the Rfam family "Bacterial small subunit ribosomal RNA", at positions 418 to 1003 of the family's 1533-position model. The record is from RNAcentral. Lineage: Bacteria; Pseudomonadati; Pseudomonadota; Betaproteobacteria; Burkholderiales; Burkholderiaceae.